Drosophila subpulchrella is the source of this 297-nucleotide long non-coding RNA. RefSeq lists it as uncharacterized. The transcript has 2 exons. NCBI's taxonomy places the organism in Eukaryota, Metazoa, Arthropoda, Insecta, Diptera, Drosophilidae. The record is from RefSeq and is a predicted model, not a curated record.
CAGUCGGGUGGCCUUGGUCGGGAUCAGAUUCAGCUCAAUGAUGGCUCAACCUUCGGCCAAAGGGAGGGUCAUACCAGCAGAAGUCAGUCUCUACAGCUACCUUCAAAAGUAGAGGUCAAUGCAACCGCAGAGCCAUCGUUCUGGGACAAACUCAAGGAAAAGAUCGGAUGAAAAAAAAACUAUAAGCUACCAUUUACGGUAUUUGCAUACACUCAUACAAUUAUUGUUUUUUGCAUAUAUGUUUUUAAUAUCUUAGUAAAGAAAAUAAAUAAAGUUCUCUUCUGUGCAGCAAUAAUA